AUUGAACGCUGGCGGCAUGCUUUACACAUGCAAGUCGAACGGCAGCGGGGGCUUCGGCCUGCCGGCGAGUGGCGAACGGGUGAGUAAUGCAUCGGAACGUGCCCAUGUCGUGGGGGAUAACGUAUCGAAAGGUACGCUAAUACCGCAUACGCCCUGAGGGGGAAAGCGGGGNUUCUUCGGAACCUCGCGCGAUUGGAGCGGCCGAUGUCGGAUUAGCUAGUAGGUGAGGUAAAGGCUCACCUAGGCGACGAUCCGUAGCGGGUCUGAGAGGAUGAUCCGCCACACUGGGACUGAGACACGGCCCAGACUCCUACGGGAGGCAGCAG
This 326-nucleotide ribosomal RNA is filed under the name uncultured bacterium. Its description in RNAcentral is "bacterial SSU rRNA". It matches the Rfam family "Bacterial small subunit ribosomal RNA", at positions 30 to 354 of the family's 1533-position model. The record is from RNAcentral.